Molecule: ribosomal RNA, 253 nt
Filed under: uncultured bacterium
Lineage: Bacteria
Description: partial 16S ribosomal RNA
Rfam family: Bacterial small subunit ribosomal RNA
Source: RNAcentral
UACGGGGGGGGCAAGCGUUGUUCGGAAUUACUGGGCGUAAAGGGCGCGCAGGCGGCGCGGUAAGUCACUUGUGAAAUCUCUGAGCUUAACUCAGAACGGCCAAGUGAUACUGCAGUGCUAGAGUGUGGAAGGGGCAAUCGGAAUUCUUGGUGUAGCGGUGAAAUGCGUAGAUAUCAAGAGGAACACCGGAGGUGAAGACGGGUUGCUGGGCCAACACUGACGCUGAGGCGCGAAAGCCAGGGGAGCAAACGGG